GAGAUGGUAGUUCCCUUCGGGGUCUAUGCACAGGUGCUGCAUGGCUGUCGUCAGCUCGUGCCGUGAGGUGUUGGGUUAAGUCCCGCAACGAGCGCAACCCUUGUCAUUAGUUGCCAACACGUGAUGGUGGGAACUCUAAUGAGACUGCCUAGGUUAACUAGGAGGAAGGUGAGGAUGACGUCAAGUCAGCAUGGCCCUUAUGCCUGGGGCUACACACGUACUACAAUGGCCGGUACAAAAGGCAGCGAAGCCGCAAGGUGAAGCAAAUCCCGAAAGCCGGCCCCAGUUCAGAUUGUAGUCUGCAACUCGACUACAUGAAGUUGGAAUUGCUAGUAAUGGCGUGUCAGCAUUAACGCCGUGAAUACGUUCCCGGGUCUU
This 378-nucleotide ribosomal RNA is filed under the name uncultured Candidatus Protochlamydia sp. RNAcentral's name for it is "bacterial SSU rRNA". It matches the Rfam family "Bacterial small subunit ribosomal RNA", at positions 1003 to 1382 of the family's 1533-position model. The record is from RNAcentral. Lineage: Bacteria; Pseudomonadati; Chlamydiota; Chlamydiia; Parachlamydiales; Parachlamydiaceae.